GACCUUUGCUUUUCUGUGGAUUCUGUUUUCCUUGUUUCUCUAGGGGAUCAAGCUUGAAGAGCAGAAGCCAGGACCCCAGAAGAACAAGGAUGACUACAUCCCGUACCCCAGCAUCGACGAGGUUGUGGAGAAGGGAGGCCCGUACCCUCAGGUCAUCCUGCCCCAGUUUGGGGGCUACUGGAUUGAGGACCCGGAGAACGUGGGCACCCCAACAUCGCUGGGCAGCAGCAUCUGUGAGGAGGAGGAAGAGGACAACC
Molecule: long non-coding RNA, 257 nt
Organism: Cebus imitator (Panamanian white-faced capuchin)
Lineage: Eukaryota; Metazoa; Chordata; Mammalia; Primates; Cebidae
Exons: 3
Source: RefSeq, a predicted model, not a curated record